Molecule: ribosomal RNA, 510 nt
Filed under: Triticum aestivum (bread wheat)
Lineage: Eukaryota; Viridiplantae; Streptophyta; Magnoliopsida; Poales; Poaceae
Description: partial small subunit ribosomal RNA
Source: RNAcentral
AUGAAGCAGGCUGAUAUCGAGAAGGCCCAGGAGGCGGCGAGUCAACAGGCCGCCAAGGACGAGGCCGCUCGGCGUCAGCACCAGGCCGAGCUGAACUCCCAGGAGGAGGACCUUGCCGCUCACGAGGAGAAACUCGCCGCAACACUCUACGGCAAGGACGAGGAGGUCAAGGAGAUUUUCGUGCAACGGACACAAGAAAUGGAGCAGAGGCACGAGGAGGCCCUCAAUGCUCAGGCCCAUGUCCAUGCCGGCAAGGUGAAUGAGCUGGAGGUGGAGCGGGACGGGCUGAAGAAGCAGAUCCAGGAGCUGACGGGGGAGAGGAACGCGGCCAAGGGCGCCUUGGCUGACGCGCAGGUCAUAGUCCUUGACAAGGUCGAGCUACUCUCCACGGCCAACAAGUCCAUCAAGGACCUGAAGCUGAAGCUGGAGGAUCUUGAGGGGACGCUCUCGGAGGUUAGGGCCCAGGAGGAGACCCUGACCAAGAAUCUGGAGGCAGCUGGGGAAGAAUGA